GGGAAAGUAGCUCAGAGGAUAGAGCAACUGCCUUCUAAGCAGUGGGCCGCGGGUUCGAGUCCCGCCUUUCCCGCCA
This 76-nucleotide transfer RNA is filed under the name Puniceicoccales bacterium. RNAcentral describes it as "tRNA-Arg". It matches the Rfam family "tRNA". From Rfam's summary of the family: Transfer RNA (tRNA) molecules are approximately 80 nucleotides in length. Their secondary structure includes four short double-helical elements and three loops (D, anti-codon, and T loops). Further hydrogen bonds mediate the characteristic L-shaped molecular structure. tRNAs have two regions of fundamental functional importance: the anti-codon, which is responsible for specific mRNA codon recognition, and the 3' end, to which the tRNAs corresponding amino acid is attached (by aminoacyl-tRNA synthetases). tRNAs cope with the degeneracy of the genetic code in two manners: having more than one tRNA (with a specific anti-codon) for a particular amino acid; and 'wobble' base-pairing, i.e. permitting non-standard base-pairing at the 3rd anti-codon position. The record is from RNAcentral. Lineage: Bacteria; Pseudomonadati; Verrucomicrobiota; Opitutia; Puniceicoccales.